This 356-nucleotide ribosomal RNA is filed under the name uncultured bacterium. RNAcentral describes it as "bacterial SSU rRNA". It matches the Rfam family "Bacterial small subunit ribosomal RNA", at positions 355 to 707 of the family's 1533-position model. The record is from RNAcentral.
UGAGGAAUAUUGGGUCAAUGGACGCAAGUCUGAACCAGCCAUGCCGCGUGAAGGAAUAAGGCCCUAUGGGUCGUAAACUUCUUUUGUAUGUGAGCAAUAAGGUCCACGUGUGGUCCGAUGAGAGUAGCAUACGAAUAAGCAUCGGCUAACUCCGUGCCAGCAGCCGCGGUAAUACGGAGGAUGCAAGCGUUAUCCGGAUUCAUUGGGUUUAAAGGGUGCGUAGGCGGCUUGGUAAGUCAGCGGUGAAAUUCCAGUGCUCAACAUUGGCCGUGCCGUUGAUACUGCUGGGCUUGAAUGCGGAUGCCGUGGGAGGAAUGUGUGGUGUAGCGGUGAAAUGCAUAGAUAUCACACAGAAC